GAUGAACGCUGGCGGCGUGCUUAACACAUGCAAGUCGAACGGAGCUUAGAGAGCUUGCUUUUUAAGCUUAGUGGCGAACGGGUGAGUAACGCGUGAGUAACCUGCCCUAGAGUGGGGGAUAACAGUUGGAAACGACUGCUAAUACCGCAUAAGCGCACGGUAUCGCAUGAUACAGUGUGAAAAACUCCGGUGGUAUAAGAUGGACCCGCGUCUGAUUAGCUUGUUGGUGAGGUAACGGCCCACCAAGGCGACGAUCAGUAGCCGGCCUGAGAGGGUGAACGGCCACAUUGGGACUGAGACACGGCCCAAACUCCUACGGGAGGCAGCAGUGGGGAAUAUUGCACAAUGGGGGAAACCCUGAUGCAGCGACGCCGCGUGAGUGAAGAAGUAUUUCGGUAUGUAAAGCUCUAUCAGCAGGGAAGAAAAUGACGGUACCUGACUAAGAAGCCCCGGCUAACUACGUG
RNAcentral lists this ribosomal RNA (464 nucleotides) under uncultured bacterium. RNAcentral describes it as "bacterial SSU rRNA". It matches the Rfam family "Bacterial small subunit ribosomal RNA", at positions 28 to 507 of the family's 1533-position model. The record is from RNAcentral.